UUGAGUGAUUUAAAAAAUUAAGUCCCCCUUUCUAAGUUCAAAUUUGGAGUUAUGGGACACCUCCCCAUAAAAUAUAAGUCACAUACAGAUAACUAUUAUUAUCUUCAUUUUUUUCAUCUAUUAUUUUUUUAUUUUACUUUUAUUUCAAUUACUCUAUCAUUAAUUUUUUGUUCCACUUUAUAUCAACUUGCAUGUUUGAAAAAUAAAAAAGAUGCAUGUAGCCAAUUUAAACUUAUGUUUAGUUUUAUCAUUGUACGAUAAAACAAGAAUUUAAUAGCAAAAUAUUUCAAAUACUUAUACUUUGUUUUUGCAAUCCUCUAUCUUAGCAGUAUAAUAUAUGAAAUGCCUAGUUACAUUUUUGUUAUUUACAACUGAUUAUAAUUCCUUUCAUUAUUACAACACACGAAAAUUAUUUUAUAAGUAAUGGCAGUAUUCAACUUGGCCUAGUUAAACCUUAAAGACUGAAAACAAAUAGGAACAGCUAAUAGUGAACUUGAUAGGGAUGGUAAAAUGCGAACUUGGGCCGGGCUUUUCUAAGUCGAGGCCCAAGUUCAUUAUAGGGGAAGCAUAAUGGUUGGCCUUGACUUUCACUUAUUUUUUAAUUUUUUUAAUUAUUACAAAUUUA
RNAcentral lists this long non-coding RNA (625 nucleotides) under Citrus x clementina. RNAcentral describes it as "Citrus clementina (C. clementina) long non-coding RNA (CCLE_LNC006552)". Lineage: Eukaryota; Viridiplantae; Streptophyta; Magnoliopsida; Sapindales; Rutaceae. The record is from RNAcentral.